This 28-nucleotide non-coding RNA is filed under the name Mus musculus (house mouse). The record is from RNAcentral. Lineage: Eukaryota; Metazoa; Chordata; Mammalia; Rodentia; Muridae.
UGGUGAAUCAUUUCUGAGGACAGCCUAC